AGGUACUUAGGAUAACAUU
RNAcentral lists this transfer RNA (19 nucleotides) under Calotes sp. RNAcentral describes it as "partial tRNA-Trp". Lineage: Eukaryota; Metazoa; Chordata; Lepidosauria; Squamata; Agamidae. The record is from RNAcentral.